UGGAUGUCAUCCAUGUUAACUUUCGAUGCCAGUUUCUGCACCUACCAUGGUGACCACUUAUAACCAGGGUUCCAUUCCUUACAGGGACCCUGAGAAACAGCUACCACAUGCAAGGAAGGCAGCAGGCGCGCAAAUGACCCACUCCCGACGCGGGAAGGUUGUGA
Pelobates cultripes (western spadefoot toad) is the source of this 164-nucleotide non-coding RNA. The record is from the annotation of a GenBank genome assembly. Lineage: Eukaryota; Metazoa; Chordata; Amphibia; Anura; Pelobatidae.